GAACCGGUCGCGGAACCGGUUUCGGAACCGGUUAGGGUUCCAAAAGGAACCCCCCCCCCCCCCCCCCCCCCGCUCGGCGCUCCAAGCCUCCAGCCUCCUGUCCUCUGUAUCUUCCUCAGUCCUCCGAUUUCAGCUGGACGCCGCUCGCCCUCAAGGCCACCGCCACCGGACGCUGCUCACCCUCAAGGCCACCGCCGUCGGACGCCACUGGUCUGGACUGGACGCCAGUCCCCGACGUCGCUCGACGCCCGCAUUCGCGACACUUGAGUCGUCGUUGCCCUGAAGACCUUGACUGACGUCCCUGCUCACUCCUCAGCGCCGGCCACCGUCGCCGAACGCCGCUGGACGCCAGUCCCCGACGUCACUCGAGCCUCGACGCCCGCAUUCGCGAAUCGCCAGAAGCUGACCGACCUUGACCGACGUCCCUGCUCGUGACCGGCCGUUGCCCCGAAGACCCUGACCGACGUCCCUGCUCGUGACCCACGCCUCUCGCGCCAGAAGCCCCGACGCCCCUGCUGCUGCAACGAACCAGAAGCCACUGCUUCGCCAUUCCCGUUCGGCACCAGGUUCCCUCUCUCUCUCUCUCUCUCUCUCUCUGUGCAACUGAGCAUGCGUUCGUGAUUGCGCUUCAGUUCCGGCUCGCGCGCACUGCUUGGUGGGACCGAUUGUUUCGUAAUCGAUUGCAAGUGGGUGUUUAUCUGAUUGCCGAAAUGCUUCGGGUGCUUACAGAAUUUCUGGGUUCUACCUCCGCGGGGCUGGGUUUGCGCUUUGUAAUGGAACUUGUUGCAUGACUCAUUUUGGGCUUUUUUCCUUAUUGGAAGCUGAAACUCCGUUUUUGCGUUGUGGGUUCUUCUGGAAAAGAGAAAUUGGUUUAGUUGGUGAAGUGUUGACGCUUUCUCUGUGAGAGUCUCGCGCGUCCGGGUUGACUGCUUGGUGGGACCGAUUAUUUUGUAAUUGAUUUCAACUGGGGUGUUUAUCUGAUUACUGAAACGCUUCGGAUAGUUGCAGAAAUUUUGAGGGUCUGCCUCCGCGGGGCUCGUUCGUGCUUCCCGUUCUGCGUGUAAUGGAGCUUGUUGCAUGACCCCUUUUGGGCUUUUUUCCUUACUUGAAGCUGAAACUUCGUUUUGGGUUGUGGGUUCUUCGGGAAAAGAGAAAUUGGUUUAGUCGGUGAAGUGUUGAAGCUUUCUCUUUCUCUGCAAGAGUCGUGCGCUUCUGGGUUGAGAUUAAUGAUGCUUCCCUUAUUGAACUUUGAAAUCCGAGUCUCGCAUUCCAUUGUUGUAUUGUUUAUCUGAUUACCGAAAUGCUUCAGGUACUUGCAGAAAUUUGAGGGUCUGCCUCUGCCAGGCUGGUUUUGCGCUUCCUUUUCCGCAUGUAAUGGAACUUGCUGAAUGACCCCUUUUGGGCUUUCCUUAUUCGAAGCUGAAACUUUUUUUGCUUUGUGGGUUCUUUGGGAAAAGAAAAGUUGGUUUGGUUGGUGGAGUGUUGACGCUUCCCAGUUGAGAUUAGUGUUGUUUUCGCUUAUUGGACUUUGAAACCCGUGUCUUG
RNAcentral lists this long non-coding RNA (1545 nucleotides) under Eucalyptus grandis. RNAcentral describes it as "long non-coding RNA (EGRA_LNC006336)". The record is from RNAcentral. Lineage: Eukaryota; Viridiplantae; Streptophyta; Magnoliopsida; Myrtales; Myrtaceae.